CUAUGUUCGGAAAAGAUAACCGCUGAAAGCAUCUAAGCGGGAAACUUGCCUCAAGAUGAGAUCUCACUGGGAACUUGAUUCCCCUGAAGGGCCGUCGAAGACUACGACGUUGAUAGGCUGGGUGUGUAAGCGUUGUGAGGCGUUGAGCUAACCAGUACUAAUUGCCCGUGAGGCUUGACCAUAUAACACCCAAACA
RNAcentral lists this ribosomal RNA (196 nucleotides) under Pseudomonas aeruginosa. Its description in RNAcentral is "partial 23S ribosomal RNA". It matches the Rfam family "Bacterial large subunit ribosomal RNA", at positions 2749 to 2925 of the family's 2925-position model. Lineage: Bacteria; Pseudomonadati; Pseudomonadota; Gammaproteobacteria; Pseudomonadales; Pseudomonadaceae. The record is from RNAcentral.